GCAUAUCAAUAAGCGGAGGAAAAGAAACCAACAGGGAUUGCCCCCAGUAACGGCGAGUGAAGCGGCAAGAGCUCAAAUUUGAAAGCUGGCCCCCUCGGGGUCCGCAUUGUAAUUUGCAGAGGAUGCUUCGGGAGCGGUCCCCAUCUAAGUACCCUGGAACGGGUCGUCAUAGAGGGUGAGAAUCCCGUAUGGGAUGGGGUGUCCGCGCCCGUGUGAAGCUCCUUCGACGAGUCGAGUUGUUUGGGAAUGCAGCUCUAAAUGGGUGGUAAAUUUCAUCUAAAGCUAAAUAUUGGCCGGAGACCGAUAGCGCACAAGUAGAGUGAUCGAAAGAUGAAAAGCACUUUGAAAAGAGAGUUAAAAAGCACGUGAAAUUGUUGAAAGGGAAGCGCUUGCGACCAGACUCGCCCACGGGGUUCAGCCGGCAUUCGUGCCGGUGUACUUCCCCGCGGGCGGGCCAGCGUCGGUUUGGGCGGCCGGUCAAAGGCCCUCGGAAUGUAACGCCCCUCGGGGCGUCUUAUAGCCGAGGGUGCCAUGCGGCCUGCCCGGACCGAGGAACGCGCUUCGGCUCGGACGCUGGCAUAAUGGUCGUAAGCGACCCGUCUUGAAACACGGACCAAGGAGUCUAACAUCUACGCGAGUGUUCGGGUGUCAAACCCGUGCGCGCAGUGAAAGCGAACGGAGGUGGGAACCCUCACGGGUGCACCAUCGACCGAUCCUGAUGUCUUCGGAUGGAUUUGAGUAAGAGCGUAGCUGUUGGGACCCGAAAGAUGGUGAACUAUGCCUGAAUAGGGCGAAGCCAGAGGAAACUCUGGUGGAGGCUCGCAGCGGUUCUGACGUGCAAAUCGAUCGUCAAAUUUGGGGUAUAGGGGGCGAAAGACUAAUCGAACCAUCUAGUAGCUGGGUUCCUGCCGA
RNAcentral lists this ribosomal RNA (912 nucleotides) under Penicillium cinnamopurpureum. RNAcentral describes it as "LSU rRNA". It matches the Rfam family "Eukaryotic large subunit ribosomal RNA", at positions 38 to 964 of the family's 3401-position model. The record is from RNAcentral. Lineage: Eukaryota; Fungi; Ascomycota; Eurotiomycetes; Eurotiales; Aspergillaceae.